CGUCGACCGGCGCACGGGUGAGUAACGCGUAUCCAACCUUCCCAUUACUGUGGGAUAACCUGCCGAAAGGCAGACUAAUACCGCAUAGUCUUCGAUGACGGCAUCAGAUUUGAAGUAAAGAUUUAUCGGUAAUGGAUGGGGAUGCGUCUGAUUAGCUUGUUGGCGGGGUAACGGCCCACCAAGGCGACGAUCAGUAGGGGUUCUGAGAGGAAGGUCCCCCACAUUGGAACUGAGACACGGUCCAAACUCCUACGGGAGGCAGCAGUU
This 267-nucleotide ribosomal RNA is filed under the name uncultured Prevotella sp. RNAcentral's name for it is "partial 16S ribosomal RNA". It matches the Rfam family "Bacterial small subunit ribosomal RNA", at positions 89 to 355 of the family's 1533-position model. Lineage: Bacteria; Pseudomonadati; Bacteroidota; Bacteroidia; Bacteroidales; Prevotellaceae. The record is from RNAcentral.